RNAcentral lists this ribosomal RNA (253 nucleotides) under Deltaproteobacteria bacterium. RNAcentral's name for it is "partial 16S ribosomal RNA". It matches the Rfam family "Bacterial small subunit ribosomal RNA", at positions 524 to 776 of the family's 1533-position model. RNAcentral also lists the same sequence under 1 other name. Lineage: Bacteria; Pseudomonadati; Myxococcota; Myxococcia. The record is from RNAcentral.
UACGGAGGCCCCGAGCGUUGUUCGGAUUUAUUGGGCGUAAAGGGAGCGUAGGCGGCGUGGUAAGUCUGGUGUGAAAGGCGCGGGCUCAACCUGCGGACUGCAUUGGAUACUGCCAUGCUUGAGGACUGGAGAGGAGAAUGGAAUUCACGGUGGAGCAGUGAAAUGCGUAGAUAUCGUGAGGAAGGCCAGUGGCGAAGGCGAUUCUCUGGACAGUACCUGACGCUGAGGCUCGAAGGCUGGGGGAGCGAACAGG